GGUAAUUAGUUUAAUCAAAAUUAAUGAUUUCGACUCAUUAGAUCAUAAUAUAAUUAUGAUUACCA
This 65-nucleotide transfer RNA is filed under the name Necromys lactens (White-chinned akodont). Its description in RNAcentral is "tRNA-Arg". The record is from RNAcentral. Lineage: Eukaryota; Metazoa; Chordata; Mammalia; Rodentia; Cricetidae.